Molecule: non-coding RNA, 3800 nt
Organism: Rattus norvegicus (Norway rat)
Lineage: Eukaryota; Metazoa; Chordata; Mammalia; Rodentia; Muridae
Source: RefSeq, a predicted model, not a curated record
AUAAGCACUGGCCCACAUCUCAAUCUGCUGGGCACAGGGACCAGCCUGCAGGGCUGCAGCUAGGCUGUGAAAAGAUCUGGAGAGAGGGGAACUAGAAACCGGUUUUGAAGGACUAAGGACGAAGGAGGGAGGAGAAGGAAUUGCCUUGAACACAUAGCCAAGUUUCAAAAACUUUCUGUGGUCCGGGCCAUCAGCAGGAAGUGAUCAAGUCUUUCCCUCCCUUGGGCCACCAGCAUCUAGAGGAGGAGCUAUGAGGCUGGCUGCUGCUGCUGCUGCCAAAGUCCUUUCCUGCUACUUGUCCCUGCAGUGCCUGCUGUCUGUCUGUCUGUGUUCAGGGAUAGAAGGAUCAACAAUAACAGCCCAGGAUAUAGCCCAGCUUACAUCUGCCAACACCAUUUCAAUUACAGUGAAUGGUACCUCUUCUGUAUCUGACAGUCAGCAUUUAAAGGCAAACUGGAGUCUGUUUCUAUUAUUGAUAUUAAUUCGUUUUAUCAUCUAGUUGGCCAAGAGACUGUACAAAAAUACGGGUGCUCCCUGCUGCUCCUCUUCCUCUGCAGUCUGAUCUUCAUCACCAGCUGUCGGGUGACAUUUGAACAUUGACUGUGACUUCUUCAGCAAAGGAAGCAAACACAUUUCUGACGGCAUCUCUGAAAUCUGACCUCUGAUCUUGACUUCGGACCAAACUGGUGGGAUCCCAGGAGACUGAUGGCUGUCAGAGCCUCAUGCAUGAGGGCAUCAGGGUGCACUAGGCUGUUGCCAUUGAGGACUUCCUCUUGCUCUAAUCCUUUUCCUUUCUCACACUUGCCUUAUCAUUGUGGGGAUAAAACUGGGCAUGGCUCUAAAUUACACCUCACACUGCAAAACAGGGCUUGCCCUAAGUGACUCCAUUUUACAAGCUGCGGGUGGCUGUCUCCUGAGUGCAACGCAGACAACGGAGGACAUGACACCUCACUUUAUACACAGACACAUUUCAGCCCAGGGCCAUCGAUGACUCAGAGAGUGAAAAUUACCAUAAUCUUAAAAGUAAGAAUAAGUCGCCUGUACACUUAUCAAAAUGAGUUGGAAGCAGUGAGAAUCACAUGUACAUAUCAAAUUAUAUCAGAGAACCAGCUCAAGGAUUUAUCUCACCCUCACCUAGACCCUAGAAGAAGCCACCUAACUCGCAAUGGUUAUGUCAACACAAACUUGUCCCCUGGCUGUCUGUGUGUCAGGGAACCUGCAGGUCCAGAACUCCUGGCCAUCUUAAGCCUCAGCUCCACCCACCCUGCUAAUGUCUCCUCCUUGAAUCACUGUCUGACAGCUCAUCUGCUGCUCAUGCUAAUGUGGGUCUGCAUCUCACCUGCUGGAUCCUCAGUCCUGCACCUCACUUGUGCAGUUCACUCAGGGCUGAGGCCUGGUGCAGCCCUGAAGCUCUCCAUGAGCUUCCUUCGCAGCUCCUCUAACCUCCUGCAUUCAAUCUGUCUGUGUGUCUGUCAUCCCUCUGUCUCUGGCUCCAGUCUGGUCUCUUUAAACUCCAAUGGCAACUCGUUCACUCUUCUGCAGCCAUUCUGUGAUCUAAGGCCAUAAGAUAACUCUGUGGUGUUCAAUGUGUGAUCUGAGAGUUUGUAUUAGUAAUUACGACUGGAGACAGAGAGCCCAGGAUGGCCAGGAGCCAGUUGUCAAAGGUAAUCACGGCUACUUGUUAAUUACAGGCUGUGAAUUGGAUGGAGGUUGUAAGUUAAGGCACAUAUAUUUUCCUGGCAUAGCACACUGAUUUGGGAUUUCAUACUUCAUAGUAUAAUAAUCCAGUGAGUAAAUAGUCCAUUAGCAAAGAAAUUAGAAAAACAUUGUUUUUCAAGUGAAUGCAGUACCUGAUUAUAGAAAAUUCAGCUUCCCUACCAAACCCUGGUCAACAGAGACUAAACUUGCUCCAUUGACCCAAUGCCUGCCUCACAGCCCAGUAAAACUUCACCCUCUUCAGUGUGACAUCUGAAUGGUGUGUUAGGAAGGGGAGAGGCUUGCAUCUGUCUCCCAAGAGGAGUGCGUUAGCAAAAUAAAUAACGAAGCAGAAAUAGAAGUGAGCAAACCUCAGCUCACACUUCUAUGAUUACUAAUGUAUACGACGGAUAUAGAAGUAUACCAUACUACGAAUUUAUACUGUUCGAAAGAAAACUAAGAGAAGUAUUAGUGUCGGUGAGAAAGAUGAGUAACAGACUACGUAAUAGACAAAUCCUCAGACGGUGCUGCCUCUGAUGCAGCAUCAUCGAUCUACAGAGCCCGAAUAAACAUGUGACAGUAACAGUCCUAGACUAAUUGUCACUAUCUUGACAGUAGCAUACGGGAGCAUAGCAAAGGCAUAGACACGUUACAUUCAGCAACUGAAAAUUAUACAUACGUUUCAGUGAGGAAUGAGGGACAAAGAGACAACUCAGUCAUACAGUGCUCAUGCUUUUUGAGAAUCUGAGUUCCCUCCCCAGAAUACGUGAACACUGUCGUGAUACAUGCUUGCAAUCUCAGCAUAGAGGACAGAGGGAAAGAGAGAGAGAAAGUGGGACAGAGGUGGGGGGAGAAUAUUGCAUCUCUGUGGCUUCGUCAUCAGAAGGAAUAGUUCAAUUGGUGAGUUUGGUGAGUUCCAGUACACACUGCCUCAAGACACCGUGCGCAUGGCGUCCUGAGUAGUGACAGCAAAAGGAAAUGUGUAGUACCCACAUGUACUAGUAUAUGAACAAACAUACACACAGGAAAUGAUACACACUAUGGACCAAAACACAGCUGAUGACUUCCCGAUAUGCAUUACUUGGGAGAUGGAAUGGGGCUUUUUAAAACUAGUCACAAGAUCUUACCCAUUCUUGGUUUCUGGGCCAUUUCAUAUUUGUAUUAUAAUAGAUAAAAGGGGCCCUGCUUGUGUCUUCUUAGAUGAUAAGGGUCGUCACACCAUUGUUCAACCACUGGCUCAAGGUGCCGGAGGGGGUAGGAUUCACCCUCUAAUCGUAGGAGGUAUCAUGAGAGACUUAGACUCCAAGCACUAGAUCCUGAUUAUUAAAAGAGGAUAUUUUGAUUUUAUUUUUGACAGAGGAACUCUUUGAAUCUGCAUUGCUGCCCUGAAAGAUGAGCAGAUUAUAUUGUGGACAAAUGAUGCAGACCACUUUCUCUUGGAAGGGACUUAUUGCUGAGAAUAGGACCUUGAGAGCCCUGUUUGGGAAUGCUGAGCUCUUAUCGGGUCCUAAGACCAUAAAACUUAAGAAGAUCGACCAACAUUUUGGAGAGGGAAAGGACCUUUGUGGCCUGAGUUGAAGGUCAGACUGUAACAUCACUCAGAGCUCAAGUGGUCCUCGGUGCUUACUGUAGGUGUUGGUGUAGAUGGCAGUGAUGGCUCAUCCUGCUACAGCACUAACUCCAUCACAGUGACUUCUAAUCUAGACCAUAGACAUCAUACUGGAGGGUUAAGUGAGACCAGCCAAAGUCACCAAAGAGUUAAAACCAGAAAUAGGCGGUGAGCAGGAAUAAAUAAUUGUAGCCUGCAGUGUUUAAAGGGGGAACUACCCUUUGGUGGUUUCAGCAUAGGCAGGAGGUAUGACCAUUGUGACUGAGGAGGAGAAAUCCUAGAAAUGCAGAAAUAAGGGGUUCAUAACUUGACAUAAAGACCUCAGGUUAUUGUUGGAAAAUAGAGUCAGGGGGUGUUUUAUGUAUGUUGUACCAAACUUUCACUGAAAUAAUGAACACGAGUCUCCACGAUGCUCCCAGGAACUAGCUGGUUGAGCCUUUGCAGGUUGAGUCCUAUUAAAUCUUCAGAUGAACCCUCAGUGACAGGCCUUGUAACA